Molecule: unclassified non-coding RNA, 332 nt
Filed under: soil metagenome
Description: partial contains 5.8S ribosomal RNA, internal transcribed spacer 2, and large subunit ribosomal RNA
Rfam family: 5.8S ribosomal RNA (bases 1-120)
Source: RNAcentral
GAUGAAGAACGUAGCGAAAUGCGAUAAGUAAUGUGAAUUGCAGAAUUCAGUGAAUCAUCGAAUCUUUGAACGCACAUUGCGCCCGGCAGUACUCUGCCGGGCAUGCCUGUUCGAGCGUCAUUUCAACCCUCGAGCCCUGCUUGGUGUUGGGGUCCCACGGCCGCCGUGGGCCCUGAAAGGAAGUGGCGGGCUCGCUACAACUCCGAGCGUAGUAGUUACAUCUCGCUCAGGGCGUGCUGCGGGUUCCGGCCGUUAAAAGCCUUUUACCCCAAGGUUGACCUCGGAUCAGGUAGGAAGACCCGCUGAACUUAAGCAUAUCAAUAAGCGGAGGA